This 230-nucleotide ribosomal RNA is filed under the name uncultured bacterium. RNAcentral's name for it is "partial 16S ribosomal RNA". It matches the Rfam family "Bacterial small subunit ribosomal RNA", at positions 562 to 791 of the family's 1533-position model. The record is from RNAcentral.
AAAGCGUGCGCAGGCGGCUUUGCAAGACAGAGGUGAAAUCCCCGGGCUCAACCUGGGAACUGCCUUUGUGACUGCAAGGCUAGAGUACGGCAGAGGGGGAUGGAAUUCCGCGUGUAGCAGUGAAAUGCGUAGAUAUGCGGAGGAACACCAAUGGCGAAGGCAAUCCCCUGGGCCUGUACUGACGCUCAUGCACGAAAGCGUGGGGAGCAAACAGGAUUAGAUACCCCAGU